AUUGAACGCUGGCGGCAUGCUUUACACAUGCAAGUCGAACGGCAGCGCGGGCUUCGGCCUGGCGGCGAGUGGCGAACGGGUGAGUAAUACAUCGGAACGUGCCCAGUAGUGGGGGAUAGCUCGGCGAAAGCCGGAUUAAUACCGCAUACGACCUGAGGGUGAAAGCGGGGGAUCUUCGGACCUCGCGCUAUUGGAGCUGCCGAUGGCAGAUUAGCUAGUUGGUGGGGUAAAGGCCUACCAAGGCGACGAUCUGUAGCUGGUCUGAGAGGACGACCAGCCACACUGGGACUGAGACACGGCCCAGACUCCUACGGGAGGCAGCAGUGGGGAAUUUUGGACAAUGGGCGAAAGCCUGAUCCAGCAAUGCCGCGUGUGUGAUGAAGGCCUUCGGGUUGUAAAGCACUUUUGGCGGGAACGAAAAGGACUGUGCCAAUACCACGGUUCGAUGACGGUACCCGAAGAAUAAGCACCGGCUAACUACGUG
Molecule: ribosomal RNA, 484 nt
Filed under: uncultured bacterium
Lineage: Bacteria
Description: partial 16S ribosomal RNA
Rfam family: Bacterial small subunit ribosomal RNA
Source: RNAcentral